RNAcentral lists this ribosomal RNA (477 nucleotides) under uncultured bacterium. RNAcentral's name for it is "bacterial SSU rRNA". It matches the Rfam family "Bacterial small subunit ribosomal RNA", at positions 34 to 507 of the family's 1533-position model. The record is from RNAcentral.
CGCUGGCGGCGUGCCUAACACAUGCAAGUCGAACGGUAACUUCUUUAAAGGAUUUCUUCGGAAUGAAUUUGAUUAGUUUAGUGGCGGACGGGUGAGUAACGCGUGAGUAACCUGCCUCUAAGAGGGGAAUAACAUUCUGAAAAGAAUGCUAAUACCGCAUAAUAUAUAUUUAUCGCAUGGUAGAUAUAUCAAAGAUUUAUCGCUUAGAGAUGGACUCGCGUCCGAUUAGUUAGUUGGUGAGGUAACGGCUCACCAAGACCGCGAUCGGUAGCCGGACUGAGAGGUUGAACGGCCACAUUGGGACUGAGACACGGCCCAGACUCCUACGGGAGGCAGCAGUGGGGGAUAUUGCGCAAUGGGGGAAACCCUGACGCAGCAACGCCGCGUGAAGGAUGAAGGUCUUCGGAUUGUAAACUUCUUUUAUUAAGGACGAAGAAAGUGACGGUACUUAAUGAAUAAGCUCCGGCUAACUACGUG